RNAcentral lists this ribosomal RNA (455 nucleotides) under uncultured Burkholderia sp. RNAcentral describes it as "bacterial SSU rRNA". It matches the Rfam family "Bacterial small subunit ribosomal RNA", at positions 923 to 1382 of the family's 1533-position model. Lineage: Bacteria; Pseudomonadati; Pseudomonadota; Betaproteobacteria; Burkholderiales; Burkholderiaceae. The record is from RNAcentral.
GCACAAGCGGUGGAUGAUGUGGAUUAAUUCGAUGCAACGCGAAAAACCUUACCUACCCUUGACAUGGUCGGAAUCCCGCUGAGAGGUGGGAGUGCUCGAAAGAGAACCGGCGCACAGGUGCUGCAUGGCUGUCGCCAGCUCGUGUCGUGAGAUGUUGGGUUAAGUCCCGCAACGAGCGCAACCCUUGUCCUUAGUUGCUACGCAAGAGCACUCUAAGGAGACUGCCGGUGACAAACCGGAGGAAGGUGGGGAUGACGUCAAGUCCUCAUGGCCCUUAUGGGUAGGGCUUCACACGUCAUACAAUGGUCGGAACAGAGGGUUGCCAACCCGCGAGGGGGAGCUAAUCCCAGAAAACCGAUCGUAGUCCGGAUUGCACUCUGCAACUCGAGUGCAUGAAGCUGGAAUCGCUAGUAAUCGCGGAUCAGCAUGCCGCGGUGAAUACGUUCCCGGGUCUU